Molecule: long non-coding RNA, 1563 nt
Filed under: Panax ginseng (ginseng)
Lineage: Eukaryota; Viridiplantae; Streptophyta; Magnoliopsida; Apiales; Araliaceae
Description: long non-coding RNA (PGIN_LNC012703)
Source: RNAcentral
AGAGAGACUCGUUUAAAAAUAUCAUUUUAACAUGUAAAAAUAUCAAUUUCCUAGAUAAACUAUGCCGUCAAACUACAUAAAAUUAAAUUCUUAUCAAAAAUAAAAACAAAAGAAAAUACUUGGAUUUUUUUUUGCAGAUCAAAGUAGUUUUUUACUAUAAUUAUUCAUACACAACAAGGCCAGAGUGCCAUAAACUUUUGCUACAUGGACAUUAUUCAAGAUACUAAAGGUUAGCCUCAUAGUAAUAAUUAGCCAACCCUAGCACUCAUAACUAUUUUACAUAGAUAAUACUCCCAAAAGCAUUAAUUAAACAAGACAGUAGUCCAUUUUGUAGCCGUACCAUUUGUGCUAUAUUAUAGAAUUGGUCCUCGGAUCCGCAAUUUUCAUUUUAGAAGGUAGUGUUACGAAUUUGAGGCGGUAGUCAUCAGUAGCGUCAUCGGUAGGGCAAUCUACGAACCUUGUUGCUUGUUGGUUCAUGCAUACAUUAAUAUCCGUAAGCACAUAUUCUGAGUUUUCGUUUUUGGUGAAAUCGAUUUCUGGCACAGCAUUCAAGUGCUUUUUGAUUGCUUCUUUUAUCAUUUUAGGACGAUAAAGGUCGUUAUUCGGGUGAAUCCCUACACAUUUUUGAAUAGUAAUCUCAUCAAACUCACAUUAUCAUUUUACUUAGGAAGCAAUGAACCAAAUUAAAGACUAUUUAAUUAUAUAUGAAUGGGUAUGUUUACCUUCCUGGUUUAGUAGCCCAAUUAUAUCAAAUGCUUUUCUAAAAGCAAGCGCCGUUCUAAAAUAAUCAGUCUGCUUCAACAAUGCUUCUGAACACCUUCCAUGUUUCUUCCACUCGUAUUCCCAGAAUUGUACGUCCUCGGUGUUAGUUUCAUGACUCGGCCAUGCAAGAUGCAUUUCUGCUCGAAAGUCCGAUACCUUUAAUUUUCAAAAUGAAGGAGGAGAGAUAUUAGUUUAACAUAUGUGAGUAUGUAUGGAUAUAUUGCAUGUACACUUUCAAUUUUUUAUCAAACAAACUUAUGACUUAUCCAACUCUUCAAGAUAUAUAUAAAUGUUACCACAAAAAAAAAACAUAUUUAAUAGACAAUAGAGCAAGAAUUUUAAGUAGUAAAUUAAAUGCAGACCGAGAGAACUCACAGAGUUAACAUCAAAGGCAGUUCCGUCACAAUAUAACCCUGGGGUCCCCUUCUCGUUAUAGGGAUAAAGGCCGUGAAUGGUAAAUGUGUUGAGGAGAGACUUUGUAUCACAGGCAUUGUUGACCUCGCAAAAUCCAGCUGGCCAUUGAAGCCUUAGGGCAAACAUUGCCAAUGGAUAAUCUGAUCGAGCAUUCCCACCCCAAGAGAAAAUGCUCAAGCUCACUAUAAUGAUGCUGAUAAUAUAUAUUGCCCUCAUGAUCUCUUCAAACUUCAACAACUUUUUUCUUAAGAAAUGAAGUGUGUGUUUUCUGUGAUCUCUAGACUUCCAUGCAUACCCUUUUAUAGUCACCAGUUCUUUUUUAAUUAUAAUAAGAAAAAACUUAUAAAAUAUUUUUAUUUAUAUUUUUGAGUGUUAAUUUAUCCGUAA